Molecule: ribosomal RNA, 517 nt
Filed under: uncultured bacterium
Lineage: Bacteria
Description: bacterial SSU rRNA
Rfam family: Bacterial small subunit ribosomal RNA
Source: RNAcentral
GAGUUUGAUCCUGGCUCAGGAUGAACGCUGGCGGCGUGCUUAACACAUGCAAGUCGAACGGGAAUUACUUUAUUGAAACUUCGGUCGAUUUAAUUUAAUUCUAGUGGCGGACGGGUGAGUAACGCGUGGGUAACCUGCCUUAUACAGGGGGAUAACAGUCAGAAAUGGCUGCUAAUACCGCAUAAGCGCACAGAGCUGCAUGGCUCAGUGUGAAAAACUCCGGUGGUAUAAGAUGGACCCGCGUUGGAUUAGCUAGUUGGUGGGGUAAUGGCCCACCAAGGCGACGAUCGGUAGCCGGACUGAGAGGUUGAACGGCCACAUUGGGACUGAGACACGGCCCAGACUCCUACGGGAGGCAGCAGUGGGGAAUAUUGCGCAAUGGAGGAAACUCUGACGCAGUGACGCCGCGUGCAGGAAGAAGGUUUUCGGAUUGUAAACUGCUUUAGACAGGGAAGAAAAAAGACAGUACCUGUAGAAUAAGCUCCGGCUAACUACGUGCCAGCCGCCGCGGUAAUUC